GACGAACGCUGGCGGCGUGCUUAACACAUGCAAGUCGAACGGUGAAGCGCCUUCCUUUUUGGUUGGUGUGGAUGAGCGGCGAACGGGUGAGUAACACGUGAGUAACCUGCCCCCUUCUUCUGGAUAACCGCAUGAAAGUGUGGCUAAUACGGGAUAUUCUGGGUCUGUCGCAUGAUGGGUCUGGGAAAGAUAUUGUUUCGGUGGGGGAUGGGCUCGCGGCCUAUCAGCUUGUUGGUGGGGUGAUGGCCUACCAAGGCGGUGACGGGUAGCCGGCCUGAGAGGGUGGACGGUCACACUGGGACUGAGACACGGCCCAGACUCCUACGGGAGGCAGCAGUGGGGAAUAUUGCACAAUGGGCGCAAGCCUGAUGCAGCGACGCCGCGUGAGGGAUGGAGGCCUUCGGGUUGUGAACCUCUUUCGCCAGUGAAGCAGGCCUGCCUCGUUUGUGGGUGGGUUGACGGUAGCUGGAUAAGAAGCGCCGGCUAACUACGUG
RNAcentral lists this ribosomal RNA (494 nucleotides) under uncultured bacterium. Its description in RNAcentral is "partial 16S ribosomal RNA". It matches the Rfam family "Bacterial small subunit ribosomal RNA", at positions 28 to 507 of the family's 1533-position model. The record is from RNAcentral.